This 493-nucleotide ribosomal RNA is filed under the name uncultured bacterium. RNAcentral's name for it is "partial 16S ribosomal RNA". It matches the Rfam family "Bacterial small subunit ribosomal RNA", at positions 30 to 523 of the family's 1533-position model. The record is from RNAcentral.
AUUGAACGCUGGCGGCAUGCUUUACACAUGCAAGUCGAACGGUAACAGGUUAAGCUGACGAGUGGCGAACGGGUGAGUAAUGCAUCGGAACGUGCCCGGUCGUGGGGGAUAACACUUCGAAAGAAGUGCCAAUACCGCAUACGAUCUAAGGAUGAAAGCGGGGGACCGUAAGGCCUCGCGCGAUCGGAGCGGCCGAUGUCAGAUUAGGUAGUUGGUGGGGUAAAGGCCCACCAAGCCGACGAUCUGUAGCUGGUCUGAGAGGACGACCAGCCACACUGGGACUGAGACACGGCCCAGACUCCUACGGGAGGCAGCAGUGGGGAAUUUUGGACAAUGGGCGCAAGCCUGAUCCAGCCAUGCCGCGUGCGGGAAGAAGGCCUUCGGGUUGUAAACCGCUUUUGUCAGGGAAGAAAUCUUUUGAGUUAAUACCUCGGAAGGAUGACGGUACCUGAAGAAUAAGCACCGGCUAACUACGUGCCAGCAGCCGCCGUAA